RNAcentral lists this unclassified non-coding RNA (604 nucleotides) under Rhizoctonia solani. Its description in RNAcentral is "sequence contains ITS1, 5.8S rRNA gene, ITS2". The record is from RNAcentral. Lineage: Eukaryota; Fungi; Basidiomycota; Agaricomycetes; Cantharellales; Ceratobasidiaceae.
CCUUGGCCACCUUUUUUACGGGUGUCCUCAGCGAUAGAUAACUUAUCACGCCGAGUGGAACCAAGCAUAACACUGAGAUCCAGCUAAUGCACAAAGAGGAGCAGGUGUGAAGCUGCAAUAAGAUCCUCCAAAACCAAAGUAAAAAAAGACCAAUUGAAUUAACAAAAGGUUUACUUUGAAGAUUUCAUGAUACUCAAACAGGCAUGCUCCAAGGAAUACCAAGGAGCGCAAGGUGCGUUCAAAGAUUCGAUGAUUCACUGAAUUCUGCAAUUCACAUUACUUAUCGCAUUUCGCUGCGUUCUUCAUCGAUGCGAGAGCCAAGAGAUCCGUUGUUGAAACUUAGUAUUAGAUGCGUUACAUCAAUUACAUUCAGUUUAAAUUAAGUAGAGUGUGUGUAAAUUUAAGUAGACAGCAAUGGAUGAUGGAAUUAAAUCCACCAACUAUUGCUGUCUCACAAGUGCACAGGGGUGUGAUGGAUGAAGAGAAGGUGUGCACAUGCCCUCUGCAAAUUAGGAAGAAAAGGCCAGCCACCACUCACUCUCAUAAUAAAAAUCAAUUAUGAUCUCCGCAGUUCACCUACGGGAACCUUGUUACGACUUCCCAC